This 264-nucleotide long non-coding RNA is filed under the name Elaeis guineensis (African oil palm). RNAcentral's name for it is "long non-coding RNA (EGUI_LNC005370)". Lineage: Eukaryota; Viridiplantae; Streptophyta; Magnoliopsida; Arecales; Arecaceae. The record is from RNAcentral.
CUCCCUAUAAAUAGAGGCAAAAAAGGGACUCUCUAGAUAUGUAAUUUUUGGCAUCCUAUCACUCUCCUUCUAAUCUAUUUAGACAUGGCAUUGGGUCGUGCCGGGCAUGGCCCAGCCCAGGCCCAUCGGGCCACAGUCCAAAUGGGCCGUGCCAGGCACGGCCUGUUCACCCCGAACCCCGACUUGGCACGACCCUAGGCUCGGGGUCUGGUGGGCUAUGCUUGGCACAGCCCGUAGCCCGUAAGGCCUGCGGAUCUGAUAAGC